RNAcentral lists this ribosomal RNA (200 nucleotides) under uncultured bacterium. Its description in RNAcentral is "partial 16S ribosomal RNA". It matches the Rfam family "Bacterial small subunit ribosomal RNA", at positions 1301 to 1500 of the family's 1533-position model. The record is from RNAcentral.
UAGUCUGCAACCCGACUACAUGAAGCCGGAAUCGCUAGUAAUCGCGGAUCAGAAUGCCGCGGUGAAUACGUUCCCGGGCCUUGUACACACCGCCCGUCACACCAUGAGAGUUGGCAACACCCGAAGUCAGUAGCCUAACCGCAAGGGGGGCGCUGCCGAAGGUGGGGUUGAUGAUUGGGGUGAAGUCGUAACAAGGUAAC